This 419-nucleotide ribosomal RNA is filed under the name uncultured bacterium. RNAcentral describes it as "bacterial SSU rRNA". It matches the Rfam family "Bacterial small subunit ribosomal RNA", at positions 356 to 773 of the family's 1533-position model. The record is from RNAcentral.
GAGGAAUAUUGGACAAUGGAUGGAAAUCUGAUCCAGCCAUGCCGCGUGCAGGAAGGCGGCCCUAUGGGUUGUAAACUGCUUUUGUACGGGAGCAAUAAGGUCUACGAGUAGAUUGAUGAGAGUACUGUACGAAUAAGCAUCGGCUAACUCCGUGCCAGCAGCCGCGGUAAUACGGAGGAUGCGAGCGUUAUCCGGAUUUAUUGGGUUUAAAGGGUGCGUAGGCUGUUAUGUAAGUCAGUGGUAAAAGGUACAGGCUUAACUUGUAUAUGCCAUUGAAACUGUAUAGCUAGGAUAUGGAUGAAGUGUGCGGAAUGUGUGGUGUAGCGGUGAAAUGCAUAGAUAUCACACAGAACACCGAUAGCGAAGGCAGCACACUAAGGCAAUAUUGACGCUGAGGCACGAAAGUGUGGGGAUCAAAC